RNAcentral lists this long non-coding RNA (199 nucleotides) under Manihot esculenta (cassava). Its description in RNAcentral is "long non-coding RNA (MESC_LNC001696)". The record is from RNAcentral. Lineage: Eukaryota; Viridiplantae; Streptophyta; Magnoliopsida; Malpighiales; Euphorbiaceae.
AGGGAAGCAAAGAUCUACACUUACCUCUUGAAGAUUGAGGGUUGGUGCGACCUCUAACUCGGAGGUGUGGAGAAUCCAAGCUCCAAAAGCUCUAAGUCCUCAAAACUUCGAUCUAAGCUUAAAACUCUUCAAAAAUAACCAUAAAACUCAUGAAAACAUGAAGGAGAUGAAGAAAGAACAUGAAAACGGCCAAGGAAGG